UGAUGGACACGCCGCGUGAGCGAUGAAGGCCUUCGGGUCGUAAAGCUCUGUUGUUAGGGAAGAACAAGUACCGGAGUAACUGCCGGUACCUUGACGGUACCUAACCAGAAAGCCACGGCUAACUACGUGCCAGCAGCCGCGGUAAUACGUAGGUGGCAAGCGUUGUCCGGAAUUAUUGGGCGUAAAGCGCGCGCAGGCGGUCCUUUAAGUCUGAUGUGAAAGCCCACGGCUCAACCGUGGAGGGUCAUUGGAAACUGGGGGACUUGAGUGCAGAAGAGGAAAGCGGAAUUCCACGUGUAGCGGUGAAAUGCGUAGAGAUGUGGAGGAACACCAGUGGCGAAGGCGGCUUUCUGGUCUGUAACUGACGCUGAGGCGCGAAAGCGUGGGGAGCAAACAGGAUUAGAUACCCUGGUAGUCCACGCCGUAAACGAUGAGUGCUAAGUGUUAGAGGGUUUCCGCCCUUUAGUGCUGCAGCAAACGCAUUAAGCACUCCGCCUGGGGAGUACGGCCGCAAG
RNAcentral lists this ribosomal RNA (515 nucleotides) under uncultured Bacilli bacterium. RNAcentral describes it as "bacterial SSU rRNA". It matches the Rfam family "Bacterial small subunit ribosomal RNA", at positions 384 to 892 of the family's 1533-position model. The record is from RNAcentral. Lineage: Bacteria; Bacillati; Bacillota; Bacilli.